CUGGAGGUAUCAGAAGUGCGAAUGCUGACAUAAGUAACGAUAAAGCGGGUGAAAAGCCCGCUCGCCGGAAGACCAAGGGUUCCUGUCCAACGUUAAUCGGGGCAGGGUGAGUCGACCCCUAAGGCGAGGCCGAAAGGCGUAGUCGAUGGGAAACAGGUUAAUAUUCCUGUACUUGGUGUUACUGCGAAGGGGGGACGGAGAAGGCUAUGUUGGCCGGGCGACGGUUGUCCCGGUUUAAGCGUGUAGGCUGGUUUUCCAGGCAAAUCCGGAAAAUCAAGGCUGAGGCGUGAUGACGAGGCACUACGGUGCUGAAGCAACAAAUGCCCUGCUUCCAGGAAAAGCCUCUAAGCAUCAGGUAACAUCAAAUCGUACCCCAAACCGACACAGGUGGUCAGGUAGAGAAUACCAAGGCGCUUGAGAGAACUCGGGUGAAGGAACUAGGCAAAAUGGUGCCGUAACUUCGGGAGAAGGCACGCUGAUAUGUAGGUGAAGCGACUUGCUCGUGGAGCUGAAAUCAGUCGAAGAUACCAGCUGGCUGCAA
RNAcentral lists this ribosomal RNA (541 nucleotides) under Escherichia coli. RNAcentral's name for it is "partial 23S ribosomal RNA". It matches the Rfam family "Bacterial large subunit ribosomal RNA", at positions 1273 to 1799 of the family's 2925-position model. Lineage: Bacteria; Pseudomonadati; Pseudomonadota; Gammaproteobacteria; Enterobacterales; Enterobacteriaceae. The record is from RNAcentral.